RNAcentral lists this ribosomal RNA (460 nucleotides) under uncultured bacterium. RNAcentral's name for it is "partial 16S ribosomal RNA". It matches the Rfam family "Bacterial small subunit ribosomal RNA", at positions 338 to 795 of the family's 1533-position model. The record is from RNAcentral.
CCUACGGGAGGCAGCAGUGAGGAAUAUUGGUCAAUGGACGAGAGUCUGAACCAGCCAAGUAGCGUGAAGGAUGACUGCCCUAUGGGUUGUAAACUUCUUUUAUAUGGGAAUAAAAUGUUCCACGUGUGGGAUUUUGUAGGUACCAUAUGAAUAAGGAUCGGCUAACUCCGUGCCAGCAGCCGCGGUAAUACGGAGGAUCCGAGCGUUAUCCGGAUUUAUUGGGUUUAAAGGGAGCGUAGGUGGAUUGUUAAGUCAGUUGUGAAAGUUUGCGGCUCAACCGUAAAAUUGCAGUUGAAACUGGCAGUCUUGAGUACAGUAGAGGUGGGCGGAAUUCGUGGUGUAGCGGUGAAAUGCUUAGAUAUCACGAAGAACUCCGAUUGCGAAGGCAGUUCACUGGACUGCAACUGACACUGAGGCUCGAAAGUGUGGGUAUCAAACAGGAUUAGAUACCCCUGUAGUC